This 254-nucleotide ribosomal RNA is filed under the name uncultured bacterium. RNAcentral describes it as "partial 16S ribosomal RNA". It matches the Rfam family "Bacterial small subunit ribosomal RNA", at positions 524 to 776 of the family's 1533-position model. The record is from RNAcentral.
UACGUAGGUGGCAAGCGUUGUCCGGAAUUAUUGGGCGUAAAGAGCUUGUAGGCGGUCUGUCGCGUCUGCCGUGAAAUUUCGGGGCUCAACCCCGAACUUGCGGUGGGUACGGGCAGACUAGAGUGUGGUAGGGGAGACUGGAAUUCCUGGUGUAGCGGUGAAAUGCGCAGAUAUCAGGAGGAACACCGAUGGCGAAGGCAGGUCUCUGGGCCACUACUGACGCUGAGAAGCGAAAGCAUGGGGGAGCGAACAGG